GUGAGGAAUAUUGGUCAAUGGACGAGAGUCUGAACCAGCCAAGUAGCGUGAAGGAUGACUGCCCUAUGGGUUGUAAACUUCUUUUAUACGGGAAUAAAGUGAGCCACGUGUGGCUUUUUGUAUGUACCGUAUGAAUAAGGAUCGGCUAACUCCGUGCCAGCAGCCGCGGUAAUACGGAGGAUCCGAGCGUUAUCCGGAUUUAUUGGGUUUAAAGGGAGCGUAGGCGGGUUGUUAAGUCAGUUGUGAAAGUUUGCGGCUCAACCGUAAAAUUGCAGUUGAUACUGGCGACCUUGAGUGCAACAGAGGUAGGCGGAAUUCGUGGUGUAGCGGUGAAAUGCUUAGAUAUCACGAAGAACUCCGAUUGCGAAGGCAGCUUACUGGAUUGUAACUGACGCUGAUGCUCGAAAGUGUGGGUAUCAAACAGGAUUAGAAACCCCUGUAGUCC
RNAcentral lists this ribosomal RNA (445 nucleotides) under uncultured bacterium. Its description in RNAcentral is "partial 16S ribosomal RNA". It matches the Rfam family "Bacterial small subunit ribosomal RNA", at positions 354 to 796 of the family's 1533-position model. The record is from RNAcentral.